Molecule: non-coding RNA, 29 nt
Filed under: Rattus norvegicus (Norway rat)
Lineage: Eukaryota; Metazoa; Chordata; Mammalia; Rodentia; Muridae
Source: RNAcentral
UUCCUGUGUAUUCUUGGGAUGCUGGGUUC